This 331-nucleotide ribosomal RNA is filed under the name uncultured prokaryote. Its description in RNAcentral is "partial 16S ribosomal RNA". The record is from RNAcentral.
CCCUAUGGGGUGCGGCCCUGGACAAGUUGCUCGUUACUUGCAUGAGCAGGGCGUUCGGGUUUGUGGCGUUGACCUGUCGCCAGCGAUGGUGGAAACAGCGCGACGUCUGACUCCGGGGGUCGAGUUUCAACCGGGCGACAUGAUGGCGCUGGACGCACCCGACGGAGCUUGGGCUGGCAUCGCAGCUUUUUACUCCAUCAUCCACAUACCCCGUAGCGACAUGACGCAGGCGCUGGGCGAGCUUCGGAGAGUUCUACGCCCGGACGGUUUGUUGCUGCUGGCCUUCCACAUUGGCGACGAUACCAUUCAUCUGGACGAGUGGCGGGAGGGC